AUCUUGCUUUUAGAUUUCGUCAUGCAAAACGACGGCAGACCUCCAGAGGCUGCAGACAGAGCUGGGCGACUGGAUCUGUGAAUGUGGUUUUCUUGGAAUAUACAGACAUGACAUUUCUGUCCAAGAUGUAGCAAAGAUUUACUCCUUUGCAGUUCGACACUACAUAUAUCUAAGAACAUCAAAUAUGAUUCAUCAGUUCACAAAGGGACUGAAUGCUUAUGGACAGUUCUGGGAUAUGGUAAGAACUCACUGGGUUGAGUUUCUACCCAUCUUUACCAACAUGCAUGAGCCCCUUUCCAGAAGCACAUUUAGAGACCUGUUCCAAAUCCACUGGAGUAAAUCAGGGACCAAGAAGAGGGAGGCUGAGGAGGAGACUAUACACUACUGGGAACUGGUGCUUAAGAUGAUUGAAGAUAAAAAACCAAAAGCUCCAGAAAACGAGUUGCAUUUUGAGGAAAUUUUGGCUUUCAUAACUGGAGCGGAUGAAGUCCCACCACUUGGGUUCUCCCAGAAGCCCAGCAUUCACUUCUACCAGCCAGAGCAGCGUGGAUGCCGUCUACCAUAUGCCAACGCAUGCAUGAUGGGAUUGUUCCUGCCCAGGGUUGUAAAAGAUGAAGUGGAACUUUACAGGAUGCUCCUGAGAGCAAUCAGAGACUCAGCUGUUUUUGGGAGAACAUAAACAUAUAUAUAAUUCUUCAUUAUAAUGGACAUGGUCACAUACAUAAUAUAUAGUUACAUAUAUUUAUAAGCUUUAUUUCAUAAUUUAUUAUAAUAUUUCAUUACAUAAGAAGAAAGCAUGCACUUACUUUCAGGUAUUUGUAUAUUCUGUAUAUUUUUGACAAAGAUGCCAGAUACAUUUUUAUAUUUGAAAAAAAAAAAACGUAUUAUUAUUAUUAUUAUUACUGUUUUCGUACAACUGUCAGUCAUGUCUCGAAUAAACUGUGAAAGAAACAAACGGUGUGUUUCUCCGGUUUGGUUGGG
This 981-nucleotide long non-coding RNA is filed under the name Sinocyclocheilus anshuiensis. Its description in RNAcentral is "lncRNA (ENSSANG00000039228.1)". Lineage: Eukaryota; Metazoa; Chordata; Actinopteri; Cypriniformes; Cyprinidae. The record is from RNAcentral.